RNAcentral lists this long non-coding RNA (1343 nucleotides) under Equus caballus (horse). RNAcentral's name for it is "lncRNA (ENSECAG00000049949.1)". The record is from RNAcentral. Lineage: Eukaryota; Metazoa; Chordata; Mammalia; Perissodactyla; Equidae.
CUUCUAGUUGUGGGAUGUGGGACCGCGCCUCAACGUGGCCUAAUGAGCGGUGCCAUGUCCUCGCCCAGGAGCGCGCGGACUUAACCACUCGGCCACGGAGCCGGCCCUUGUUUUUUCUUGAUUCAGCUUUGGGAGUUCGGCGACUUGGAUGGGAUAACAUUUCACUGACUGGACUCUGCUCGCUCCUGGCCUACUUCAGCUGAGAGAUCCUGGACCCCUGACAAGAGCCGGCAGGAGACACAGGAAUCUCUAUAACCCUGGUUGGGAGUAUGCUGAGGUGAAAGCUGAUGCCAAGGGUCAUCUUGGAAGCCAAAAAGCUGCAAAUUUGGUGGUUGUGGGUGGAGCAGUUAAGAACCAUUAGGGUGCUUGCCACCUCAAGAAGUCUCCCAUGAAAGGAUGAGUUGGUCAUGGAAUGAGGUGGAUGACACAGAUCCCCCUGUCAACUUCAAGAAAAUGUCUGUGCAAUGACAAGAGACCGAGCGAGAGGAGACCUCGCUGGCCUCGGCUGGAGAGGGACGCUGUUCCAGGCACAUUACUGCGUGUAUGAUCAGCAGCCGUGAACGUGUCCAGGGGCCGGCCGGGGGCUGAGUGGUUGGGUUUGCGCCCUCCACUUAGGCGGCCCGGGGUUUCACCGGUUCGGAUCCUGGGCGCGGACAUGACACCGCUCAUCAGGCCACACUGAGGCAGCGUCCCACAUGCCACAACUAGAAGGACCCACAACUAAAAAUAUGCAACUAUGUACUGGGGGGCUUUGGGAGAAAAAGGAAAAAUAAAAUCUUUAAAAAAAACAACAAAAAACCCCACCUUUCUGAACCCAAUCUCACAAUUUCAGCCUGUUUCUCACAGACCUCACAACUCAGCUGCACGGAGUCAAGGUGGGACCCACUUAAAGGGGAAAACAAUUUCCGAGCUGCUUUUUAGUGCUCAGGUAGCAUCGAGGUGAGGAAAAGGGGCUAAAGCUGCUGGACCUCGGCGAGCAGGAGCAGAGACGAGCCUGUCCUCCCCAGGAACGUUCCACUAAGAAACGGACAGCAAGGUCCCUGGUGGACUGCAGUUCAACUGAACUAGCCAGGCCGUACGGGAGGUCCUGCAGUCUAAAGGAUAGAGUGGGCUUUGUAGGUUCAAGGGCAUCCUGUGCAGAAGGUGCCGGGUCUCUGUGCUCUGGAAACAUCUCUGCUAGUCUAGGUAAUUAAACCGGAACUGGUCUGCGAAGAGCCUGAAAGCCAGAAGUUAGCAGUUCCAGUCCUGCAAAGCAGGCCUUCCGGGUGGCAUUCUUGCCAAUAGCUGUGAUCAGAUUUGGUGGCAACAUGGCUAAACUGGUGGUAGUUUCCGAGUGGCCAGGU